CUAAGAACCCUGAUUGACCAGGAAGAAAAAAAAUUAAGUCUGAAUCAUGUCCCUCAAGAGCUUGGCACACACGUGAUUUCAAUACAGUCCGUGUUCUGGAGGAAAGACGGGACUCUUGGAGCUUCAGUAAGGAACACAAAGGCCUUUGACUGCAAGGAACUCAGUCUACUGGGAGAGAUGGAUACAUCAACAGAAUCAUCGAAAUGCCUUUCCUUUAAAGCAAAGACCAUUCAGAAUCAAAGGCUCAUUUCCUGGAAAUACAGGGCUGGACGGCAGCCAUCCCUCAAAUGAGGCCCCAUGGAGAAGACUUGGAAAUGCACGCUCCCAACUCAGGUUUCCAGUGGAUGCAUAUUAAACCCCAAGGACUGGAAGCUGAGGUCAUGGAUUGCUUUCUCAUUGCUGUCAAGGUGCCCAAAAAAAAGAGACACUGUUUGCACCCCCGGGCUCACUGGUUCAGUCUUUCUCCUUCUUCCCCGGCUUCUCACCACUCCUCAUGCACUGUCAGUAGAAGCCCUGCCUCUACCUGCAAUAGGAAACUGAGCCGAGAGACGGUCCCCUUACGGCCUCUAACCUGCGCAUCUCAGGCACGAGAUCCUCUCCCUUCAGCAUUCCUGCCUUCCUUAUUCCCUGUGUCCUGGGACCUCUGCACACCUUAUCUCCAGCCCUGUUUGGCAUCGACAUUCUAAUUCUCUGGCUUGAACAGCCUCCCAGACCAUGCUGGAAAUACGGAAGCAGGACAAGAAGCAAGAAAACAGAGACCAAGAGAGAGGCCGAAGCAAAUUAAUGCUGAACACUGGGGAGAAGCCCAUCCUUCUUCAGCUGCUGGUGAGUCGGUAUGAGCAGUAUCGGUCUACUCCUUAAUCCCCUAGCCCUUCAGUGGCUCUGGCUGACUCCGGCUGCCAGUGUCUACAUCCCUGGGUCUAAAGGCCUUAUUUCCAGAAGCUAUAGCAGGCUAGAGGCAUUGCAGAAUUAGCACCUCUCUAGAGCAGUCCUCAAUCAAUGGCUCACAGGGGUUGAUACGCCAGCUCCCUCACCCGUUGGGCUGGGUAUAUCUGGGUUAGUGUUUUGCAUCAUGUCACAGUGAGAGGAAGCUUUUAUGGCCCACUGUGAUUGUCUUAAUCACACAUCCUUUAUUGGCUGCCUGCUACUCUGUUCUCUUCCCUUCUCUACCGGUGUUUCCUGCACCUCCCAAAUAAAGCAGUUGCAUGUUAAUUCUUGUCUCA
RNAcentral lists this long non-coding RNA (1223 nucleotides) under Sus scrofa (pig). Its description in RNAcentral is "lncRNA (ENSSSCG00015074727.1)". The record is from RNAcentral. Lineage: Eukaryota; Metazoa; Chordata; Mammalia; Artiodactyla; Suidae.